RNAcentral lists this ribosomal RNA (504 nucleotides) under uncultured bacterium. Its description in RNAcentral is "partial 16S ribosomal RNA". It matches the Rfam family "Bacterial small subunit ribosomal RNA", at positions 28 to 507 of the family's 1533-position model. The record is from RNAcentral.
GACGAACGCUGGCGGCGUGCCUAAUACAUGCAAGUAGAACGCCCAGUUUAUACCGUCGCUUGCUUCACCAUAAACUGUGAGUUGCGAACGGGUGAGUCACGCGUAGGUAACCUUCCUGGUAGCAGGGCAUAACUAUUGGAAACGAUAGCUAAUACCGCAUAAUAUUGAUUAUUCCAUGAUAAUUGAUUGAAUGAUGCAAUUGCAUCACUACCAGAUGAAUCGACGUUGUAUUAGCUAGUAGGCGAGGGAACGGCCCACCUAGGCGACGAUACAUAGCUGAACUGAGAGGAUGAACAGACAAAUGGGAACUGAGACACGGUCCAGAGUCCUACGGGAGGCAGCAGUGGGGAAUAUUGGACAAUGGGCGCAAGCCUGAUCCAGCCAUACCGCGUGGGUGAAGAAGGCCGUCGGGUUGUAAAGCCCUUUUGUUGGGAAAGAAAAGCAGCAGGUUAAUACCCCGCUGUUCUGACGGUACCCAAAGAAUAAGCACCGGCUAACUUCGUG